UAACAAGCAGAAAUAAAAUACAGGAGAGCAGGACAGAGAGCAGCAAUGCAGAAAAGAAUCCAAGAGACAGCAGGUAACAAAUUAAAUAUAAGUGAAAUGUGAGGCUAUUAGGGGAAAAUGCCACAGCUAUUUUGGAGUGCAUUCCUCAUGAGGAGAGAAAAGCAAUAAUUCACAUUCCCAUAGCCUUUCUGUGAUUAUAACUAGAGUAUUGUGUUCAUUGGGGGAGAACCACAAGGAAUUAAUGAUGCUGAUAAACUGGAGGUGUCCAAGUAAGAGGUACCUGUAUACUUUCUCUGUUAACAGGGUCCUUGGAAGUCACUGUGGUUUACCAGUGAUCUAUGAUGGCCCAAAGAGACUUAAAAGGAUGCUGCGAUGCCAGGGAGACUUUUGAGAGGGAAGAUUCAUUUAGCAUCUGGACAGCAACUCUUCCAAGAAGAGAAGUUGGACACCGGGAGCAGCUGAAUUAUUCUGUGUAUGAGGAAGCUUAUUUGGGAGACAUCACCUACUGCUCCCUCUGUAUGUGAGUGUGUGGGAAUUAUUUAGAGUUUGAAUACUUUUAAAAUCUCAACUUUU
This is a long non-coding RNA of Anser brachyrhynchus (Pink-footed goose), 573 nucleotides long. The record is from Ensembl. NCBI's taxonomy places the organism in Eukaryota, Metazoa, Chordata, Aves, Anseriformes, Anatidae.